RNAcentral lists this ribosomal RNA (252 nucleotides) under uncultured bacterium. Its description in RNAcentral is "partial 16S ribosomal RNA". It matches the Rfam family "Bacterial small subunit ribosomal RNA", at positions 524 to 776 of the family's 1533-position model. The record is from RNAcentral.
UACGGAGGAUGCGAGCGUUAUCCGGAUUUAUUGGGUUUAAAGGGUGCGUAGGCGGGCUUUUAAGUCAGCGGUAAAAAUUCGGGGCUCAACCCCGUCCGGCCGUUGAAACUGGGGGCCUUGAGUGGGCGAGAAGAAGGCGGAAUGCGUGGUGUAGCGGUGAAAUGCAUAGAUAUCACGCAGAACCCCGAUUGCGAAGGCAGCCUUCCGGCGCCCUACUGACGGUGAGGCACGAAAGUGCGGGGAUCGAACAGG